AUUGAACGCUGGCGGCAUGCCUUACACAUGCAAAUCGAACGGUAACGGGCCUUCGGGUGCCGACGAGUGGCGCACGGGUGAGUAAUACAUCGGAACGUGCCCGAUCGUGGGGGAUAACGAGGCGAAAGCUUUGCUAAUACCGCAUACGAUCUACGGAUGAAAGCAGGGGACCGCAAGGCCUUGCGCGGACGGAGCGGCCGAUGGCAGAUUAGGUAGUUGGUGGGAUAAAAGCUUACCAAGCCGACGAUCUGUAGCUGGUCUGAGAGGAUGAUCAGCCACACUGGGACUGAGACACGGCCCAGACUCCUACGGGAGGCAGCAGUGGGGAAUUUUGGACAAUGGGCGCAAGCCUGAUCCAGCCAUGCCGCGUGCAGGAUGAAGGCCUUCGGGUUGUAAACUGAUUUUGUACGGAACGAAAAGCCUUCUUUUAAUACAGGAGGGUCAUGACGGUACCGUAAGAAUAAGCACCGGCUAACUACGUG
This 482-nucleotide ribosomal RNA is filed under the name uncultured bacterium. RNAcentral describes it as "partial 16S ribosomal RNA". It matches the Rfam family "Bacterial small subunit ribosomal RNA", at positions 30 to 507 of the family's 1533-position model. The record is from RNAcentral.